Procambarus clarkii (red swamp crayfish) is the source of this 532-nucleotide long non-coding RNA. RefSeq lists it as uncharacterized. NCBI's taxonomy places the organism in Eukaryota, Metazoa, Arthropoda, Malacostraca, Decapoda, Cambaridae. The record is from RefSeq and is a predicted model, not a curated record.
UAAGACAUUUUUAAGACUCUAACCUUCGUAAGAAGGUAUGCUCGUAUACGAACUGAACGACCGGGCUUCACAACAAAAACAUGGCCACAUGAGUUGGAUUAUUCCGCAGCCCAACAUCAAUUUCAAUCGGUGAUAUUGUUUCUCAUGCAGUCGAAUAUCUGAGAGCUCAUUGCAACAAUGGAUUCCAAAAAUCCAAUCCUGAGAAACGCUUUACAGUGAUUAUGUCCCUCAUGUAAUAUUAUCGUGAACAUUAAUCAACAUGUCUGCAAGUGUGGCUAUAGGCUUUUUGAUGCCAAACGUAAAGCUCAGCCGGAAAGCCAGGCUCAGGCAAAUAUCAAGAGAUCAGAAAAAAAAACAUAUACCUGUUGUACAUGAUGAGUUGCAUAAAAGUGUGCAAGAUUUACAACACCAAAAGAAAUUGAAGGAGAUUGAAGAGGAGAUAACAAGGCUUCGAGCAAUUUAUGAUUCCCAAAAUAACAACCCAAAAAGGCGGACAAUUAUGUACACUGACACUUCGUCUAGAAAAAGCAGA